This 368-nucleotide ribosomal RNA is filed under the name uncultured organism. RNAcentral describes it as "bacterial SSU rRNA". It matches the Rfam family "Bacterial small subunit ribosomal RNA", at positions 526 to 896 of the family's 1533-position model. The record is from RNAcentral.
CGGAGGGUGCAAGCGUUAUCCGGAUUCACUGGGUUUAAAGGGUGCGUAGGUGGGCAAGUAAGUCAGUGGUGAAAUCUCCGGGCUUAACCCGGAAACUGCCAUUGAUACUAUUUGUCUUGAAUACUGUGGAGGUCAGCGGAAUAUGUCAUGUAGCGGUGAAAUGCUUAGAUAUGACAUAGAACACCAAUUGCGAAGGCAGCUGGCUACACAAAUAUUGACACUGAGGCACGAAAGCGUGGGGAUCAAACAGGAUUAGAUACCUUGGUAGUCCACGCCCUAAACUAUGGAUACUCGACACUUGCGAUAAACUGCAAGUGUCUGAGCGAAAGCAUUAAGUAUCCCACCUGGGAAGUACGAUCGCAAGAUUG